GAUGUACAAAAAUUUAAAAUCUAAAUAUUAACUAAUAUAUUUAAAACAUUAAUACAUUAUUUAUUAUUUAAAGUUUUGAUAUUAGAGUUGAGUCUAGUUUUUAUUUAUUUGUUGCCCAGAACAAUAAAAGCAUCUCACUGGAAUAAUUAUUAAAAUAAAUGUCAACUCGUUAGUUCUUAUAUCCAUUAAUAACGGUAGGUACGGUACUCUAUCAUGUAAAUGCACUAUCGAUCUAGGGUCAACUUUAUGUCAUCUCUAUCCAAUCAUUACCUUUAACACAAGUAAGCAAAUUAUGAUGCUUUGAUUCAGAUAUCAGACUAAUAUUUCAACUCCAAAAUUUACCCCUAUUUUCCAAUAUUUGUUCAUCCACACUUUCUUCCUAUCCGCCACACUAUACCUUUUCUCUUCUGUAUCUCCACGUUAACCUUUGACAAGCCAUACCUUCUUCACUUUCAAAGAAAAUUAAUAUAUGAAACCUACCUGAAAUAUUGAUGUCCAUUUGUAU
Molecule: long non-coding RNA, 505 nt
Filed under: Brassica napus (rape)
Lineage: Eukaryota; Viridiplantae; Streptophyta; Magnoliopsida; Brassicales; Brassicaceae
Description: long non-coding RNA (BNAP_LNC021970)
Source: RNAcentral